Molecule: small RNA, 78 nt
Filed under: Sinorhizobium meliloti 2011
Lineage: Bacteria; Pseudomonadati; Pseudomonadota; Alphaproteobacteria; Hyphomicrobiales; Rhizobiaceae
Description: putative ncRNA
Source: RNAcentral
ACCUCGCCAUUGACCACGGAUGUACUGGCAUUGGCUGAAGGUGUUGAGGAAGGUCGGGUUCAGCCCGGCCUUUUUUCU